GAUCGGAUUAAGCCCUUUGCGUUUUAGAACCUUUGUACACAUUGGCGUGUUUCAUUUUCCAUUUUGGCCCUAUGUCAAACGGCCACACACGUCGGCAAGGUUUGUUUUUGUUAUUGUUUUGUUUUUUGGCCUCGCAGGCCAAUCCAAAACAAAUUACACUUUCGUGUUGAGCCUUUUGAACCAAAAUUAUAUUUUUGCUCGUUUUUGUGAAUUUUAAUAGCUAACAGCACGAUUAUUCUUACAAUUUCUGUUUUAAAUCGAGUGUUUCUGCAUUCCAAAGGGAAAGUGCGUGAUAUUUGGAUGACUAAAAUGGCCCAGAAACUCGGAUGAUUGUGGCCAGUAGGUGCUCCAAGAAUAAGGAUGAGGACCUCGGUGAGGACAUCUGUGCAAGAAAUAUCGUGGUACGAUGCCUAUGGCGGUGAUUCAUGCAUUCCGUUAUCGGAGAAGUAGGGACCAAGCCGCCAACAUAGAUGCUGCCAAAUCCGUCGAACCCGAGGUCGAACCUGUAUGUUGGCUAUGGGUCAAUGGCACUGAUGGUUUGAACGGCUACAACCCGAAAGAAACGGAACGAGAUAGUGGCAUGAAAUAGCAAACCGGAGAAACGGAUUUAUCUAAUAAAUUUAUGUAGGCAAA
Molecule: long non-coding RNA, 633 nt
Organism: Culex quinquefasciatus (southern house mosquito)
Lineage: Eukaryota; Metazoa; Arthropoda; Insecta; Diptera; Culicidae
Exons: 2
Source: RefSeq, a predicted model, not a curated record